GAAAUGCGAUAAGUAAUGCGAAUUGCAGAAUUCAGUGAGUCAUCGAAUCUUUGAACGCACAUUGCGCCCCUUGGUAUUCCGAGGGGCAUGCCUGUUCGAGCGUCAUUACGACCCCUCAAGCCCGGCUUGGUGUUGGGGCCUGCCGUGCCGGCAGCCCUUAAAAUCAGUGGCAGCGCCAUCUGGCCCUGAGCGUAGUAAUCCUUCUCGCUACGGAGCCUGGGUAGGCGCUCGCCAUCAACCCUAAAUUUUCUAUGGUUGACCUCGGAUCAGGUAGGGAUACCCGCUGAACUUAA
RNAcentral lists this unclassified non-coding RNA (293 nucleotides) under uncultured Helotiales. Its description in RNAcentral is "sequence contains ITS1". The stretch from base 1 to 105 matches the Rfam family "5.8S ribosomal RNA", at positions 50 to 154 of the family's 154-position model. Lineage: Eukaryota; Fungi; Ascomycota; Leotiomycetes; Helotiales. The record is from RNAcentral.